Long non-coding RNA from Cyprinus carpio carpio, 1279 nucleotides. Lineage: Eukaryota; Metazoa; Chordata; Actinopteri; Cypriniformes; Cyprinidae. The record is from Ensembl.
GUGGCAAUAUGCAAUUUUUGAUGCACAAAGGACUGCUUCUUUGAUGCACAAAGAAUAAUUUGAUGCAUGAAUAAGGAACAUUUACUUGAUGCACAAAGAGAUUUUUUUGAGGAACAAUUUUUUAUUUAUAUAUAUAUAAUUUUUUUCAUCAUCAUGUCUUCUUUGUAUGUGGAUGCUCUAUAAAUUCAAAGGCAGGGUCUGAGGUGUAAAACGGGUUCAAGCAGUGUGUCUAGCUUCUUUUCAAAACUUCUGACCAAAGAGGAGAAAUCCUUUUGGUGGCAGAGCCCUCUUCAUCUUGACAUCCUCAUCGUCAAACGUACCCUGAAAAGAUGUGAGAUUCCUUGCCUCAACAACACUUCAUCUUUUGUGUGGGCCAGCAAGUGGCUUAACAGGAACACAGGUUGGUUCCAGAACAGUCAUUUUUGUGGACACAGCAACGGGGUGUUCAUGCAGAGACGUACGUUUGUCCACCCUCGCUGGUCGACUUGCAAAACUGGGCAGCCAAGGUAGGGAGAGGUGAGCGGUAGUUUUCCGAUCAGACUCACAUAAAUCGUCAUUGAUGCUUCUCUUUGUCAUGCUCAUUGAAUGGUUAGUAGGUCUGGACCCUCGACGCCCCAGAGGUCUUUCACCUGAAACUGAUGUCUUCUCUUCAGCUUCUGGCAAGAAGAAAUGUCCAGCUGACUUGUUCUGUCCAACUAGAGGUUUCACAGGGAAAUGGGUUUGUUCUAGAACAGGCAUGUUCGUGGACAGAGCAACAGGGCAUUCAUGCAGAGAUGUUUGUUUGUCCACCCUCACUAACUGACUUGCAAGUCUAGGCAGUGGGGGUAAGGAAAGGUGAGCAUUAGCUUUCAGAUCAGACUUGCAUGAAGAUUCUGUGACAUUUUUCUCUGCCACAUCCAUUAAAUAGGUAGGAGGUCUUGGCCCGUGACGUCCUGGAGGAUUUUCACCUGAAGCUGGCUUCUUUUGUCCAGUCUCAGGCAAAAAGGGAGGUCUGCCAAAAAUCUGUUUGCCUAGGCAUAGCAUAGAUUGACUCUGGAGAGUAUUUCUGUCUCUGCACCACAUGUUGAAAUGCUGGAGUAAAGAUUAUCUCAACAACAGCAACAAAACUGGCUUGAAUGAGCGAUAAGCAAGCAGCAAUCACAACAGUCAGAUGCCAAAUGAGGCUCUUUUCAGCAGGAUUCUUUGUAAUGUGUAAGGGCUAUUAUGAUGUCAUAAUAGAAUGUAGGUCCGUUAAGCUGAGUUCAUUCUAUUAGUGUUAUAUCUACUGAGGAUUUUUUUU